UGGGGAAUAUUGGACAAUGGGCGAAAGCCUGAUCCAGCCAUGCCGCGUGUGUGAAGAAGGUCUUCGGAUUGUAAAGCACUUUAAGUUGGGAGGAAGGGCAGUAAGUUAAUACCUUGCUGUUUUGACGUUACCAACAGAAUAAGCACCGGCUAACUUCGUGCCAGCAGCCGCGGUAAUACGAAGGGUGCAAGCGUUAAUCGGAAUUACUGGGCGUAAAGCGCGCGUAGGUGGUAUGGUAAGAUGGAUGUGAAAUCCCCGGGCUCAACCUGGGAACUGCAUCCAUAACUGCCUGACUAGAGUACGGUAGAGGGUGGUGGAAUUUCCUGUGUAGCGGUGAAAUGCGUAGAUAUAGGAAGGAACACCAGUGGCGAAGGCG
RNAcentral lists this ribosomal RNA (376 nucleotides) under uncultured bacterium. RNAcentral describes it as "partial 16S ribosomal RNA". It matches the Rfam family "Bacterial small subunit ribosomal RNA", at positions 355 to 723 of the family's 1533-position model. The record is from RNAcentral.